RNAcentral lists this unclassified non-coding RNA (357 nucleotides) under soil metagenome. RNAcentral's name for it is "partial contains 5.8S ribosomal RNA, internal transcribed spacer 2, and large subunit ribosomal RNA". The stretch from base 2 to 121 matches the Rfam family "5.8S ribosomal RNA", at positions 35 to 154 of the family's 154-position model. The record is from RNAcentral.
GGAUGAAGAACGCAGCGAAAUGCGAUACGUAAUGUGAAUUGCAGAAUUCAGUGAAUCAUCGAAUCUUUGAACGCAUCUUGCGCUCCUUGGUAUUCCGAGGAGCAUGCCUGUUUGAGUGUCAUUAAAUUCUCAACUACACUGACUUUGAUUAUCAGUGUGGUUUGGAUUUGGGGGUGAUCAUUGCAGGCUUGUUGUCUGCUCCCCUGAAAUUAAUUAGUGGUGUCCUGUCUACAGGUGUGAUAACUAUCUACAUCUGAAAGACUUCUGGGUUAAUGCUGCUUUACUUGUAAAUGACAAUCUUGACCUCAAAUCAGGUAGGACUACCCGCUGAACUUAAGCAUAUCAAUAAGCGGAGGA